This 899-nucleotide ribosomal RNA is filed under the name uncultured bacterium. RNAcentral's name for it is "bacterial SSU rRNA". It matches the Rfam family "Bacterial small subunit ribosomal RNA", at positions 79 to 975 of the family's 1533-position model. The record is from RNAcentral.
GCUAGAUUGAUGGCGAGUGGCGAACGGGUGAGUAAUACAUCGGAACGUGCCCUGUAGUGGGGGAUAACUAGUCGAAAGAUUAGCUAAUACCGCAUACGACCUGAGGGUGAAAGUGGGGGACCGCAAGGCCUCAUGCUAUAGGAGCGGCCGAUGUCUGAUUAGCUAGUUGGUGGGGUAAAGGCCCACCAAGGCGACGAUCAGUAGCUGGUCUGAGAGGACGAUCAGCCACACUGGGACUGAGACACGGCCCAGACUCCUACGGGAGGCAGCAGUGGGGAAUUUUGGACAAUGGGCGAAAGCCUGAUCCAGCAAUGCCGCGUGUGUGAAGAAGGCCUUCGGGUUGUAAAGCACUUUUGUCCGGAAAGAAAUGGCUCUGGUUAAUACCUGGGGUCGAUGACGGUACCGGAAGAAUAAGGACCGGCUAACUACGUGCCAGCAGCCGCGGUAAUACGUAGGGUCCAAGCGUUAAUCGGAAUUACUGGGCGUAAAGCGUGCGCAGGCGGUUGUGCAAGACCGAUGUGAAAUCCCCGAGCUUAACUUGGGAAUUGCAUUGGUGACUGCACGGCCAGAGUGUGUCAGAGGGGGGUAGAAUUCCACGUGUAGCAGUGAAAUGCGUAGAGAUGUGGAGGAAUACCGAUGGCGAAGGCAGCCCCCUGGGAUAACACUGACGCUCAUGCACGAAAGCGUGGGGAGCAAACAGGAUUAGAUACCCUGGUAGUCCACGCCCUAAACGAUGUCAACUAGUUGUUGGGGAUUCAUUUCCUUAGUAACGUAGCUAACGCGUGAAGUUGACCGCCUGGGGAGUACGGUCGCAAGAUUAAAACUCAAAGGAAUUGACGGGGACCCGCACAAGCGGUGGAUGAUGUGGAUUAAUUCGAUGCAACGCGAAAAACCUUACC